This is a long non-coding RNA of Gopherus flavomarginatus (Mexican gopher tortoise), 813 nucleotides long. RefSeq lists it as uncharacterized. The record is from RefSeq and is a predicted model, not a curated record. The transcript has 3 exons. NCBI's taxonomy places the organism in Eukaryota, Metazoa, Chordata, Testudines, Testudinidae.
UCCUGAGACUGACACCACAACAACUCUGCAAACAACAAUUGUAAUUGACAGCAGGAUUUUUUCCUUAUGUGUUUAAAGAUACUGGUCCAUGAGAGGACUUUCCCUCUUAUCCCAUGACUGCUCACUUUGCUUAAGAGCCUUUGGUGUGGGACCUUAUCAGAGGCUUUCUGAAAGUCCAAGUACACUAUAUCCACUGAAUCACCCUUGUCUACAUGCUUGUUGACCCCCCUCAAGAAAUUCUAGUAGAUGAGUGAGGUGCAAAUGUUUCAACUCGGCCCCUAUCUACUCCAUCCCAGAGGCUGGUCCAGAUUAGAAGGCGGAAAAAAUGAAUUCGGGACGACAUGUUUGCCGAGCUCAUGCAGUCCUCCCACACUGAUAGGACCCAGCUGAAUGCAUGGAGGCAAACAAUUGCAGAGUUCCGUAAAGCAUUACAGGAACACAAAGACAGGAGGGAUGCACAUGCUGAGAGCAGGCAGGACACUAUGGUCAAGCUCAUAGGGGAGCAAACUGACAUGCUCCAGAUCUAAUGCGGGAAAGGCAGCAAGACCACAGACUGCUGCUGCAGCCCCUGUAUAACUGCCUUCCCUCCUCCCCAAGUUCCAUAGCCUCCUCACCCAGAGGCCCAAGAACACAAGGGGGGAGGCUACAGGGACCCACACUCUCAACCCCAGAGGAUCACCCAAGCAGCAGAAAGCUGGCAUAUGCAAACUUUUGAUUUGGUUUCUGGACUUGUCCUUCCUUCCUCCUCCAUCCCCCCCCCCCCCCAUAAUCCAAUACCCCUCCUCCCCCAGUCUACCUUCAGAUUUCUCUUAA